CGGGGACACCUCUGGGGGGAUCUGGUUGGAAGAAAGAAACGUUUGUUGUCACCUGGUGUGAGAAGAACGCGUUUAUUGUCACCUGGGGGGCCGGGGACACCACUAUUGUCACCUGGGGGGUGGGGGCACCUCUGUUGUCACCUGGGGGGGGUGGGGCAGGUGUUUAUUGUCACCUGGGGAGGUGGGGCAGGUGUUUAUUGUCACCUGGGGGUGGUGGGGCAGGUGUUUAUUGUCACCUGGGGAGGUGGGGCAGGUGUUUAUUGUCACCUGGGGAGGUGGGGCAGGUGUUUAUUGUCACCUGGGGAGGUGGGGACAGCCAGGCCACGCGCAGGGUGUGUCCAGCUCUGUCCAGCCACGCCUGGCUGCGUCCAGGGGUGCCCAGGUGUGUCCGGCCAUGCCCAGGUGUGCCCAGGUGGCUCAGGGCAGGAAGCCCAGCUGUGCCCAGCUGUGCCCAGCUGUGCCCAGGUGUGCCCAGGUGCCCCCAGG
This 486-nucleotide long non-coding RNA is filed under the name Lonchura striata (white-rumped munia). Its description in RNAcentral is "domestica (Bengalese finch) lncRNA (ENSLSDG00000002912.1)". The record is from RNAcentral. Lineage: Eukaryota; Metazoa; Chordata; Aves; Passeriformes; Estrildidae.